GGGUUGUGAGGUUAAGCGACUAAGCGUACACGGUGGAUGCCCUGGCAGUCAGAGGCGAUGAAGGACGUGCUAAUCUGCGAAAAGCGUCGGUAAGGUGAUAUGAACCGUUAUAACCGGCGAUGUCCGAAUGGGGAAACCCAGUGUGAUUCGUCACACUAUCGUUAACUGAAUACAUAGGUUAACGAGGCGAACCGGGGGAACUGAAACAUCUAAGUACCCCGAGGAAAAGAAAUCAACCGAGAUUCCCCCAGUAGCGGCGAGCGAACGGGGAGCAGCCCAGAGUCUGAAUCAGCUUGUGUGUUAGUGGAACGGUCUGGAAAGUCCGACGGUACAGGGUGAUAGUCCCGUACACCAAAAUGCACAGGCUGUGAACUCGAAGAGUAGGGCGGGACACGUGGUAUCCUGUCUGAAUAUGGGGGGACCAUCCUCCAAGGCUAAAUACUCCUGACUGACCGAUAGUGAACCAGUACCGUGAGGGAAAGGCGAAAAGAACCCCGGCGAGGGGAGUGAAAAAGAACCUGAAACCGUGUACGUACAAGCAGUGGGAGCACCUUCGGGUGUGACUGCGUACCUUUUGUAUAAUGGGUCAGCGACUUAUAUUCUGUAGCAAGGUUAACCGUAUAGGGGAGCCGCAGGGAAACCGAGUCUUAACUGGGCGUUAAGUUGCAGGGUAUAGACCCGAAACCCGGUGAUCUAGCCAUGGGCAGGUUGAAGGUUGGGUAACACUAACUGGAGGACCGAACCGACUAAUGUUGAAAAAUUAGCGGAUGACUUGUGGCUGGGGGUGAAAGGCCAAUCAAACCGGGAGAUAGCUGGUUCUCCCCGAAAGCUAUUUAGGUAGCGCCUCGUGAACUCAUCUUCGGGGGUAGAGCACUGUUUCGGCUAGGGGGUCAUCCCGACUUACCAACCCGAUGCAAACUACGAAUACCGAAGAAUGUUAUCACGGGAGACACACGGCGGGUGCUAACGUCCGUCGUGAAGAGGGAAACAACCCAGACCGCCAGCUAAGGUCCCAAAGUCAUGGUUAAGUGGGAAACGAUGUGGGAAGGCACAGACAGCCAGGAUGUUGGCUUAGAAGCAGCCAUCAUUUAAAGAAAGCGUAAUAGCUCACUGGUCGAGUCGGCCUGCGCGGAAGAUGUAACGGGGCUAAACCAUGCACCGAAGCUGCGGCAGCGACACUAUGUGUUGUUGGGUAGGGGAGCGUUCUGUAAGCCUGCGAAGGUGACCUGUGAGGGUUGCUGGAGGUAUCAGAAGUGCGAAUGCUGACAUAAGUAACGAUAAAGCGGGUGAAAAGCCCGCUCGCCGGAAGACCAAGGGUUCCUGUCCAACGUUAAUCGGGGCAGGGUGAGUCGACCCCUAAGGCGAGGCCGAAAGGCGUAGUCGAUGGGAAACAGGUUAAUAUUCCUGUACUUGGUGUUACUGCGAAGGGGGGACGGAGAAGGCUAUGUUAGCCGGGCGACGGUUGUCCCGGUUUAAGCAUGUAGGCUGAUUGUCCAGGCAAAUCCGGAUAAUCAAGGCUGAGGUGUGAUGACGAGGCACUACGGUGCUGAAGUAACAAAUGCCCUGCUUCCAGGAAAAGCCUCUAAGCAUCAGGUAACAUCAAAUCGUACCCCAAACCGACACAGGUGGUCAGGUAGAGAAUACCAAGGCGCUUGAGAGAACUCGGGUGAAGGAACUAGGCAAAAUGGUGCCGUAACUUCGGGAGAAGGCACGCUGGUGUGUAGGUGAAGUCCCUGCGGAUGGAGCUGAGACCAGUCGAAGAUACCAGCUGGCUGCAACUGUUUAUUAAAAACACAGCACUGUGCAAACACGAAAGUGGACGUAUACGGUGUGACGCCUGCCCGGUGCCGGAAGGUUAAUUGAUGGGGUUAUCCGUAAGGAGAAGCUCUUGAUCGAAGCCCCGGUAAACGGCGGCCGUAACUAUAACGGUCCUAAGGUAGCGAAAUUCCUUGUCGGGUAAGUUCCGACCUGCACGAAUGGCGUAAUGAUGGCCAGGCUGUCUCCACCCGAGACUCAGUGAAAUUGAACUCGCUGUGAAGAUGCAGUGUACCCGCGGCAAGACGGAAAGACCCCGUGAACCUUUACUAUAGCUUGACACUGAACAUUGAGCCUUGAUGUGUAGGAUAGGUGGGAGGCUUUGAAGCGUGGACGCCAGUCUGCGUGGAGCCAACCUUGAAAUACCACCCUUUAAUGUUUGAUGUUCUAACGUUGGCCCCUUACCGGGGUUGCGGACAGUGUCUGGUGGGUAGUUUGACUGGGGCGGUCUCCUCCCAAAGCGUAACGGAGGAGCACGAAGGUUAGCUAAUCCUGGUCGGACAUCAGGAGGUUAGUGCAAUGGCAUAAGCUAGCUUGACUGCGAGCGUGACGGCGCGAGCAGGUGCGAAAGCAGGUCAUAGUGAUCCGGUGGUUCUGAAUGGAAGGGCCAUCGCUCAACGGAUAAAAGGUACUCCGGGGAUAACAGGCUGAUACCGCCCAAGAGUUCAUAUCGACGGCGGUGUUUGGCACCUCGAUGUCGGCUCAUCACAUCCUGGGGCUGAAGUAGGUCCCAAGGGUAUGGCUGUUCGCCAUUUAAAGUGGUACGCGAGCUGGGUUUAGAACGUCGUGAGACAGUUCGGUCCCUAUCUGCCGUGGGCGCUGGAGAAUUGAGGGGGGCUGCUCCUAGUACGAGAGGACCGGAGUGGACGCAUCACUGGUGUUCGGGUUGUCAUGCCAAUGGCACUGCCCGGUAGCUAAAUGCGGAAGAGAUAAGUGCUGAAAGCAUCUAAGCACGAAACUUGCCCCGAGAUGAGUUCUCCCUGAGACUUUAAGUCUCCUGAAGGAACGUUGAAGACGACGACGUUGAUAGGCCGGGUGUGUAAGCGCAGCGAUGCGUUGAGCUAACCGGUACUAAUGAACCGUGAGGCUUAACCUUACAACGCCGAAG
Molecule: ribosomal RNA, 2923 nt
Filed under: Klebsiella pneumoniae
Lineage: Bacteria; Pseudomonadati; Pseudomonadota; Gammaproteobacteria; Enterobacterales; Enterobacteriaceae
Also listed under: 1 other name
Description: 23S ribosomal RNA
Rfam family: Bacterial large subunit ribosomal RNA
Source: RNAcentral